This 393-nucleotide ribosomal RNA is filed under the name uncultured bacterium. RNAcentral describes it as "partial 16S ribosomal RNA". It matches the Rfam family "Bacterial small subunit ribosomal RNA", at positions 523 to 918 of the family's 1533-position model. The record is from RNAcentral.
AUACGGAGGACGCGAGCGUUAUCCGGAUUCAUUGGGUUUAAAGGGUGCGCAGGCGGCCGUGCAAGUCAGCGGUGAAAGCCCGGGGCUCAACCCCGGAAGUGCCGUUGAUACUGCAUGGCUGGAAUGCGGUCGAGGCGGGCGGAACGUGGCGGGUAGCGGUGAAAUGCGUAGAUAUGCCACAGAACGCCGGUAGCGGAGGCAGCGCGCCAGGCCUGCAUUGACGCUCGGGCACGAAAGCGGGGGGAUCGAACAGGAUUAGAUACCCGGGUAGUCCACGCCGUAAACGAUGGGCGCUCGUCGUCGGCGGCAGACAGUCGGCGGCCAAGCGAAAGCGAUAAGCGCCCCACCUGGGGAGUACGGUCGCAAGGCUGAAACUCAAAUGAAUUGGCGGGG